Non-coding RNA from Pelobates cultripes (western spadefoot toad), 16064 nucleotides. The record is from the annotation of a GenBank genome assembly. NCBI's taxonomy places the organism in Eukaryota, Metazoa, Chordata, Amphibia, Anura, Pelobatidae.
CACAAACAUGAGGUUGCUAUAGGUAAUAGUUGCUAGUGGCAACCAACACACCAAGAGCAUCCCCAAAAGAAAUAUACAGGUGGGGGUAGACUUGCUGGUCCAAGCAUCAUACCGGCAGACGGGAGGGACGACAACUGCAACUAUCCAACAUUUUAUGAGGGAGACCCGUUGGAGCAGUUUGUUUUAACAAAAGGAAACCGUACAAGAGGCUGUGUGGAAGGAAUGGGAAAAUGCAAGUUCUCCAUCAACAGGUAAGGGGAACGAAGGCUGCCAGGGAUGCCCAUACACCCUCUCUCGUUGCUGCUGCACACAGAGAGCCGGGCACGGGCAUUGUUAGGCACUCCAUUCACACACACACACCAGCUGCAAGCAGCAAACUCAUGGAAUAACAGGGAGACAGCUUGCAAAACAAGAGGGUUUUGCUUCCCAGUUAUCUCCAGACAAUGCUUUAUAGGGUGGGAGAGUGUAGGAGGGGGGAUACCACAACACACUUCUCUUCAAUUCUAGAGGAAAAAUUGCUUCUUUUUCUCUCUGGUUCUAAAGAUAAAAAGGGUUAGGUACCCUCUGAUACUGUGCAUUGUGCUUUUUAAAUUAAAUACUAGUAUUCUGCAGCAGGGAUUACCCCCAGGAAAAACAACCCUCUCUGCAAAAAAAAAAAAAAGGCUUGUUUGCAGCCUUUCCACCUAAAGAGAAACAGUUACACAUAUAUCUGCCAAAUUAGGCAUUUUAUUUGGGAAUUGUCACCUAAUUCCAGUCGCCAGGUGGUCAAAAUAUGUAGGCAUUAUUCAUCUGUGACGUGUCCCUCCUUAGUGUCUUGCACUCAUCAGGAGAGCAAUACAUUUUUUUUUUUAGAAAAAAAAAUCUAGGAUUUUCUCUUGCCUCCUGGGGGCAUAUACAAGGAGGUUAGUGCUGACACUUUCUUCCACAAUUUUUUUUUAAUUUGUAUUAUUUUCUUUAUUGGUAUGCUCAAGCAAUCAAUUUACUAAAUGUUGCAGCCUUUCAAUAAGGGGUUUAUUCGUCAUUCUAUGAAUUGUGGUGAAUUGACAAAUUAUUGCAAAAAAAAAAAAAAUCAGACAAAAACACCCGAGCUGGUAAAAAUAUAAUAUCCAUUUUUGUUCUGAUUUUGUAAGCCUGGAAGUGUACAUGGUUCCUGCUCAAAGCCGAUGAAGUUUCAACGAGCAACCGGUGGUUGCUAUAGAGGGAGGCAGGGAGUCAGCAGAUUAGAAUUUAUAAUUGCCAAUUCCUAUGCAAAUUAUAGAGAAACAAGAUUCAACAGUGAUUGGCAAAGAAAUGUUGCAGAAAUAAAAUACAAAAUGUGUGAAAAAAAAAUGUAACAAAUAGAAACCUACAAUGGUGCGUUGUUUUAUCGACAGAUAAAUCUAUACGUGCUGAGAAAGGCAAAAGCCAACAUUAUACCAAUAUGUGCAGUGUGAUCAGGAGAGCAAUAAAUUUUUUUUUUUAGAAAAAAAAAUCUAGGAUUUUCUCUUGCCUCCUGGGGGCAUAUACAAGGAGGUUAGUGCUGACACUUUCUUCCACAAUUUUUUUUUAAUUUGUAUUAUUUUCUUUAUUGGUAUGCUCAAGCAAUCAAUUUACUAAAUGUUGCAGCCUUUCAAUAAGGGGUUUAUUCGUCAUUCUAUGAAUUGUGGUGAAUUGACAAAUUAUUGCAAAAAAAAAAAAAAUCAGACAAAAACACCCGAGCUGGUAAAAAUAUAAUAUCCAUUUUUGUUCUGAUUUUGUAAGCCUGGAAGUGUACAUGGUUCCUGCUCAAAGCCGAUGAAGUUUCAACGAGCAACCGGUGGUUGCUAUAGAGGGAGGCAGGGAGUCAGCAGAUUAGAAUUUAUAAUUGCCAAUUCCUAUGCAAAUUAUAGAGAAACAAGAUUCAACAGUGAUUGGCAAAGAAAUGUUGCAGAAAUAAAAUACAAAAUGUGUGAAAAAAAAAUGUAACAAAUAGAAACCUACAAUGGUGCGUUGUUUUAUCGACAGAUAAAUCUAUACGUGCUGAGAAAGGCAAAAGCCAACAUUAUACCAAUAUGUGCAGUGUGAUUAAGGGCAGGCUGAAUUUAUCAGAUUUUUUUUGUAAUACAGCAGUGGAUAAACUAAAACACAAGAAUUUAAAGUGAUUUUGCUCUAAUGUACAAAUACAAUUAUUAACGUACAGAUGAAUCAGUGUGGGGUGGAAGGAAUUAAAAAAAAAUAUAUAAAAAAUUAAACAGAAGUACAAUAUAAAUAACACACUGAAUGUACUGUGCUCCAUUGCAGACACCCAACAAAAAUGUUCCCUUUUUUUCCAUAUGGCUUUAAAUAUCUCCAGAAAAUUGUUCAUCUUGACUCCAGUGUGAAAUAUUACUUGUUUCUUAGAUUCUGUAUCAGAGAUUCAUACUAUGACAUACUGAAUAUAAUUUUAAACCCUACCCCACCCAUUCUUUUCACUCCUCCUGUCCUAUUUAUACCGUAUGUGUACCCCAUUCCCUUUCAGUGUCAUUUCACUUGCGCAAUUACCUGGUAAAAGCAGACAUUAGUAUGCAUUAGAGAAACGGCAUGAUACCCAAGUUGAUUAGGAGCUAUAGUCUGAUGAAUUUGGGCUUGAGGGACAGCAAUUCAAGACAAGUUUUCUACACCUUUAUUGCCAGUGUUAAUAUAAAAUCUUUGCAUAGUGUGACAAUUGUCUGCAGACUGUACACCUCUGACAAUUUGCCCAUGCAUGUGGAGACACUGAAAUGUGCCCAUCCAGCCAAAGACCCUGACAACCUGCCCAUUCAUCCAGCAACAAUAAAUUUGGCCAAUUCAUUCAAAAAUUUUAAUAUUAAGCCACCCUAUACCCUCAGGCACCAAUUUGGAACAUAACUCCCAGCACAAUGCUUAUGCCACCGUCCAAUAGAUUGCACUAGUCCGCCCGAAAUGACGCAAGAGAAAUCAGUAUAAUGAUUAUGAUGUUGUGGUAGAUGAGAAUAAGCGCAAUGCCUUUACUAGACAUUUAAUGUUGAGCUUGCACUCUACAUUAAUGCAAGGGAGACAAAAAACAAGACACUUCUCCAAAAACCCAUUGACCUUCCAGUGUCACAGAGAUAAUUACUGUACUUUCGCUAUAACAUAUAUCCCAAGGAUUGAAAAGGUCCUAAGGACAACAUAGGAGCCUUAGUGUACAGCAGCCAGCAGCGCUAUCAUGCUUUGCCCCUGUUUGCACAAAGAUCCCAUUGUCCUAAUUUCACAAAAAGAAAACGCAUUAAAAAUGCAUGGCGAAGCAAUCAGACUCACCUGCAGAGCAAUGAAAGCGGGAAUCACAAAGGAUGCGAAGUCUAACAACCAGGUUGGAAAAAUGCCAUACAUUUAAAGGAAUUGGGCACUUGAGAUCUUUUAUGUAAUAUUAAAUCACCUGUUGCAUAAAUUAAUAAUACGAAUGGCUUAUUCAUACUGGCAACUUUGCUGCAUUAUCUGCACUGUAACAGUAUGUUAGUAUGGACUUAGUGCAGCAUCAGAAAAGGGUUUAUAUAAUUUCCCUCCCUCACCCCAAAAAAAGAGGGUAAAGUACAUCACACUUGCUCCAGCAAAAUAUUUUGGUGCAAUAUCACAAAGCUGAUUAUCAUAAAGAUCUGAUGUGAAUCGAGAUAUUCACAACAGCAGCAAAAAUCUAAUCACAAUUUUUAUGUAUUUUUUUUUUAAGUCUGGGAUACGUUAUGGCCAGCUAUGUUAUUCCUCACAAAUACAUCCAAAAUUAUAUAUAAAUUUACAAUGAGCUCUGCAGAAUAAACCUACAAUAUAUUCUAAAUAAUUCAACAUAAGCUAGCAAUAGUCAGGGUUUUGGUACGAAAGCAAAUAAUAAAAUAAAUAAUGCCUAUUAUUUUUGAAAUUCCACAAUAGGCACUGUGCAAGAUGUCAUCGGAGAAAGAUCCUGUUGGUUCAAGGGUGAACCUUUCUUAAAUUUAUGUUGAGGUAGACCAUAUGCAGGAUCUAAAGCUUGAGGAUCCUGUGGCUAGUUGAGCCUUUCUAGAACUACAAGCAUUCUAAUUUGGUUAUUUUUCAAAACUAAAAAUUUGCCAAAAUGUAGACAAAAGACUAUUCAUCUUAUUCAAGAACGCGUGUUCCUCAUGACCUGACAUAACGUUUCCUCUGGAUUCAGCCUCAUGUAGAAAACAAACUCUGCUUGUUUCCUGCGCUCCUGUGAGGCUGGUUAGACCUUUUGGUGAGCUGAAAACACGAUGACCCCAUUUACAAACUCACAAUUUAGAAAGAAAAAAAAAAAAAUUGGAUAUCAUAUUCACUUGCUGUUAGGCAUCCAUCAAGAUCUCUUUUACUUACCCCAAAGUUGGGGUCUCUGGUAGAGGACUAAAUACACUGCAUUACAAAAAGGGGGUGUAAAAUAAUGGAAAAAAAUAAGAAAGUUAUAUUUUCCAUAUUUAUUUACUUAGAUCAGGGGUAGUUAACUUUUUAAUACCUACCAACAACUUUUGAAGCUUUGUUGAUGGUAACAUUUCCUUACUGCCCACCCGUGCUUGCAGUAACUAAUUUUAUAUUAUAUAUAAUUUUUCAUAUAUAUAUAUGAUGUGUAUGUGAAGGGUGGAGUGUGUGAGGGGGGGGAAGUGUGUGUGUGUAUGUGUGCAGUGUCAAGCAGUGUGUGUGUGAGAGCAGGCAGUGUGUGUGAGGGGUGUAUUGUGUGUGAGGGGGCAGUGUGUUUGUGAAACAAGGCAGUAUGUGUGUAGGUGGGAUGUGUGAGGUAUGUAGUGUGUGUGUUUAUGUGUAAGGGGUGCAUAGGGUCUAUGCUGUGUGAGAUGUGAAAAUCUAUCAAUGUCUUCCCCUCCCUUCUUCUUACCUUUUACCAGGGAGGGGGGACAUAAUGCUGCAAGCCCUGGUGAUCCAGAGGUAGCAUGUUCACAUUAGCCUGCAGCUUCUCCUGUCCUCCUGCGAACACAGCACUGUAUCGGACCGUUGCCAUGGCAACUCUCUGAUCAGUCUGCUCACAAGAGCCUCCCAGGACCUUCCCUCCCUCUGCUGGAACUAAGUGCCAGCAGGCUGGUGAGGGAGAUGCUUGAUCUCCUCACCAGCCCGAGAAGGCUUACAGCAAAGCUAGCUCUGCAUGGGCCGGCAGGGGAGAUGAAAGGAUCUCCCCUGCUGAUCUUGGCCCACGGCCAUCGAGGCCAAUCGGGCGUUUUCUGCAGAACCCACCACUGCCCACCUAAAAUCCCAAACUGCCUACUAGUGGGCAGUAGGGACCAGGUUGACUACGCCUGAUUUAGCUUUUUUUUUUUUUUUUAAUACAUUUUUGAGAUGCAGGUGAGCACAUCAGUGCCUGCCUUGCCACAACAGCAUUUGCAGGCUCAAACGACAUAAUCAAACAGACUCUGUGACAUUUUUCAAGUUAAGUGAGUCAAGAUUGGGUCUCGGGUAUGUAACAAGGUAUAGUAAAAUAUGUGGUGAAACAUUACCUGUGCCGCCCGGUGCAUAUACAAGAUUACGUUUGCAACCCUUCCUGUCCUCCGUGUUAUGAGGCUAGGGCUUAGGACAUACAGCGUAUCACCGGUUUAAUUCAUACUCUAGGAACGUGUGUGUGCAAUGGCGGCUAGAGGCAAUAGUGAGAUGUAACAUGGCAGCAAGGCUCCUUGACCCCGUAGUCUGGGGAGGGAGGGGAGUUGUUUCCUUUCACAGUGUAGGUGUGUGUUACUUGGGACCUCGGCGCUAAGGUGUCGUCUGGGUGUUCUGUAGGUUCCGCCAGGUUGAGGGGUCUAUGAGAUCGGUGUGCCAUGCGGUCUGUGUGUCAAGUGAUAAAUAUAUGUGAGCUGCCGCGGGGAGCAGACUGGGUGGACAACCUAUAACACAACAUAUGGCAUAAAAAAUAACUGGCAUAAAAAUUAUAUAUAAAAGGGAGAACAAUGCAUAACUCAGUGUAACACAAAGCUAGCUGGUGCAUUUUCAAGUUCCUUGUGUCGGACAGCUACUUUUCCACAUUAAGCGUCUGGGAGCUGCAUAGUGCCUCUUUCUUCUGGGGCUGCAUGUCCCGAUGGGGUGAACGUUGGGAUGUUGGCAUACGGGGUCUGUCCCCUGACAGCGCGGAGGAAGCCUUCUUUGUCUGAGCGGGAUUUAAAGCUCAUUAUGACAUCCCUUGUGAAGUCUGGAGCGUUGUUUGGGGGCGUCCUGAUAUACGAAAUAGGCCAUCUAGGGUCAAUCCUUUGGCCUGUUUGGGCGGUAGGGCAGCCAGGAGGAGCCUCUUAAUGAGGUCCCCCUCACCUGUAGGUUUCUCUGUCUCGCCAUAUCUUCGAGCUGCCCCACUCGAGCGUUCAGCGGUGUACUUGGUUACUAGCUCCUGUGUGUGCUUAGCCGUGGCGUCGUGCUAGGCCCUCAGUUCCUCGACCACUUCAACCGUGGCUCGCAUGCAGCCUGUAAGCGUGCUCAGCUCCGUCUUGAGGCCUGCUAAUUCCGCCGUGAAAAGGGCCUUAAGGUCAGUCACCAUGCUUGAUAGGUCAACCUUAGUGGUUAAUGAUGGUUCCGAUUGCCUUGGUGGUGCGGUCUGUUGCUUCCGUUGGGGUAUCUGGGUCGACAUAUCGCUCAGGUAUUCAUCCUCUGAGGCAGAGAGUGACUCCAUCCCCAUGUCUUGGAAGGCGUCCGCCAUUUUGGGACUGCAAGCUUGGGACAAGAGUUGCCCGAUACCGUGGGUAUGUCCCGUGGAUGGCCCUCGAGGUUUCCCCCAUUGCGUACUGGAUCUCCCAAAGGUUUAUUUCCCGGCUUGUGGAGGUAGUUUGACCGAGUUCCGUGGCUGUUUUGCUAUAGUAAUGUCAGAGCUCAGGCAUUCAACAAUUAAAUUCAAAUGUUGUCUAACAGUAGCUCUGCCAACUAAAAGCACUACUCGUAAUUAACCCAGGUUCAUGACGUCUCUACAGAACAUCUCAAAAAACAGUUAUCAAGCUGUAGUUUUUAGUAAAGAGGAACCAGAUAUGUCACAUAACCAAACUCAAGACAAGAAUAAUGAAACAGAAAAAAAAAUAGAUAAGGAAAAGCAAAAUUAACUAACAAUCUGAGAUUUUUAAAGAGAUCUAACGAGGCUUGCAAUACAUUCUUUAUUGACAUAGAAAUAUCAAGUCAAAAAGUAAUGCAGAUUUGCACUGUGAUAAUAUUUAAUGCAUUCUGUAAAGGUGCAGGACGGACAGUUACCAAUUCAAAGGAUUUGACAGACUGAUAGAAUUUGUGAAAGGUCACUUCCAAGGAAUGUUACAGGGAUAAGUAGACAUACUAAUAUUUAAUAUGUAUUUGUGAGGAUAACUGUACUUGGCGGUAACAUCACCAACCUGUUGCUUCUCACAAAUACAUUGCAAGAUUUACCAGUGUAUUCAAAUAUAGUUUUAUGGAUAGACUAGCCUCUUAGCCAGAAACAUCUAGUGGCAAUCAGUAUCUGGAUUAUUCUAUCCAGCAAGUACUCAUACUACUAUUUUUUUAUUUUUAUUUUUUUUUAAUAAGGGGGGCAGCAAGACUCCUCUACGGAUGUUGGUCAACAAUUCUCUGAGGACAAUGGCACACUGCCUCUCAUUAAAAGGGACAUUAAGAACCAUUUGAAUAAUACUCACCACACAUUCCAGGCAGACUCUCCAUUAGCUUCAGCAUCGGCUCAUAUGGGUUUAAUAAUCAAAACAGUUUGAAUAGGGCAAUGUUCUCAGCUUCUAGAGGACAUGCAACAUAUCACUAAAAGGGACACUCCAGCUUUCUGAAAGUGCUUUAUGUGUGAAGACUGUGUCUCCUUUCUUUCAGUAGAAAUUUACCCUUUUAUAAAUUAACCUUGUUACACCCCCCUGGCCGGCAAUCAGGCAAGUUCUGUUACUUCCUGGUUUGGUUAGCUCAGUGGAGUUAAACUCAAGAGGCAGCAAUUGUACAGAACACCUGCCUUGCAAAGACUUCUCACUAAACUGCAUUGGGAAGCCUGUGAUUGGACAGACACAGAAAGCCUGGGCGGGGUUAGAAUGGGAGGAGCUUGCAAAGACUAGAUAACUGCAACUUUAUCAAACUUUUUUGAUAUACCACAAUGGAAAAAAAAUUAUUAAAUGCUUGCAUGUUUUCUACUAAACAGUGAUUAUUUGGCAGUGUAGAGUCCCCCACUGCACAAUGGAAACAAUACCAUUGCUUGAUGCUCACUUUUUCUCAGAAAUCAAUAGGGCCAGACUAGGACACUGGUAGCCACUUGUGCUGGUGCAAUAGGUCUACAACAUAAUGGAACAUUAUCAGUAAGUCAGGUGAGAUUCCGAGGCAGGUAUACCAUCACUACUCUAGGUGCCACCUUUUAGGAAAAAGACCUGGCAUGAGUCAAUUGACUGUGUUGUAGGAGUUAAAAUAAGGCUGGGUCGUUGUCAGUGGUUAAUUUUAAAAAGCUGUCAAUAGACGGAGCUCAAUACUAUAUAUAUAUAUUUUACACAGAUUUCAGCUAAUUAUUUGCCAAUCACUACCUAGUUCCCUGUCCCUCCCGCUCACCUGCAUGUUUCUUAACGUGUAAAGCACAAUCGGUACACAAUACAAACACUGGCUGGGAUGGUUGGUAUUGUCUCGGAGAUGAUCUGCUUUUAGAAAAUAAAAUUAAUGGCACAGAAACAUGGAAUUCGUGUUGCAGUGAAAACGACUUGGCUGAUGAGCCUAUUGCCGACUUGCUGAUAAGACUUGCCUGAUGUAAGGAACAUGAUGUGCAAGCGGUGUGGCUUGAAGGACUGGUAAACAGCCGCGUUUCUGACUGAUUGAAUGGGUCAUUUAAUGAACAAAAAAAUAUAUAUAUUAUGAGAUCUGUACAGCCAGUGGUAUCUAAUGCUCCACUUUGGCAAUGCAAACGCACAAAAGUAAUUAUUGCCGAUCACAAAAGAUAUGUGACAGAUUGUGAACCUUAAUUAGUUUCUGUUCACUAGUCAAUACUGCUGGUGUAUACUAUUACACUGUCAGUUUGACAGCGUUGAAGUGUCAAAAUAAAUUGUGUCACUGUGAAUCCCCUGUGUUAAAUUAUUUUAUUUAUAAAUCAAUCCAUUUCAAAUAUACAGCAGCAGGGAGGCUGCAAAAGGUGUGACACUAAUGGCUGAUUGCCCUUUACCCCAGCUCUGUGAUACACUCAUACACACUGCACAUUACUGUGAGUUUUAUUGUUGUGGAGCUCUGUGAUACGGUCAUACACACUGGACUGCAAGUCACAAGCCACUUUUGGUAGGAAGCAGUGGUGGCUGCUGUUCUUUACAAAUCAUUUGUAUAUCAAGGCCAAUGGAGGAUAUCUGAAGAUAUCAGGUUUGGAACAAACACAAAAUGUAAAUAGAAUGGGUGACAAGGCUUGUAAUAAAGAAACAGACACAUGGUCUAUAGACACUAUUAAACUAUAAAUGCAACGCUAACCGACUGCUUUUGCUUCUUAAGUUAGUACUUUAAUUAUCACUUACUACUAAACCUACCAUUACUAUUUUGGCCAAAAUUAAAAUAUACAAAAACAUUUUUAUUUUAUUUUUUAAUCUUGUUUAAGUUUUACCAAUAAUUAAUCUAGUAAUUAAUUAUAGCAUAUUAAUAAGCCAUUAAAUUAUUGAAAGAAUACCAUUACGAGUCUCUAGUCAUAUAACAAAUUAUAGUUUUCUAUUUUUAUUUUACAUUUUUUUGUUUACAUUUCUAUAGGAGACAGGCUGAUGGUGUGUUAGCAGUUAUUGGCUACAAGACUGGACAUUUUUCAGCUGGGAUUUUACUGGCGUUACACAGUACAGUCUGAAGGUAAGGGAGUUUAGUAUAUUGCCAUAUGGUAGCCAAAAACGUAAAGGUGCAGUUCCAUCUAAGCAAAAAGAGAUUCAAUGUUCUCACAAGUUAUGCCAAGCAAAUAUGUUCUCCGUUGUUUAUUAACUAAAAUAAUGCUAGUAGAGAUUAAUUUGCUAAUUCAUCCACACCGUUCCCAUAGCUUUUGCUACGUGAUUAUAGUCCACAAAUAAUAUGUCCGCCAGUAUGGGGUGAAUUUUUUAAUUUUUAUUUCUGUAUAAGCUGAAAGCUGCUCUGUAACAUCACAGGUUUUGCAUUUAAAUCAAUUAUUUUAUGUUCCUCUAUUUCUGUUUGGUUGUAUAUACAUAUAAAUAUUUAUUUUUUAAAAAGUCACCUUUUUAGUUAUAUAUAAGAUGGCAAAUGGACUUCUUUUUCUCAUGGGGAGCGGGAUCUUUCGCAAUGGCUUAACCAAAGUUCCAUGUCGACUGCUAAACGUAUUUACCCACAAUCCAUCAGUCAAAAGAAUCUCACAAAAAGCAAACUGCAUGGACAGAGGAGAACAAAACGGAAUCCCCCAAGUAAUGGGAUUCUACUCAAGGAAGGAAAAAAAAAAAAAAUAGCAGUAAACGUGUCAAUUCAAAGGGGGGUAGUUGCAUCAGUGAAUUAAAGGACCACUAUAGUGCCAGGAAAACAUACUCGUUUUCCUGGCACUAUAGUGCCCUGAGGGUGCCCCCACCCUCAGGGACCCCCUCCCGCCCGGCUCUGGAAGGGGGAAAGGGGGUAAAACUUACCUUUUUCCAGCGCUGGGCGGAGAGCUCUCCUCCUCCUCUCCGCCUCCGUUACGCCCCGCCGGCUGAAUGCGCACGCGCGGCAAGAGCUGCGCGCGCAUUCAGCCGGUCUCAUAGGAAAGCAUUUACAAUGCUUUCCUAUGGACGCUGGCGUGCUCUCACUGUGAUUUUCACAGUGAGAAGCACGCAAGCGCCUCUAGUGGCUGCCAAUGAGACAGCCACUAGAGGAUUAGGGGGAAGGCUUAACCCAUUCAUAAUUAUAGCAGUUUCUCUGAAACUGCUAUAAUUAUGAAAAAAUGGGUUAACCCUAGAAGGACCUGGCACCCAGACCACUUCAUUAAGCUGAAGUGGUCUGGGUGCCUAGAGUGGUCCUUUAAGUACAUUCCUUAAUGCCGGCCCUGUUUUUAAUGUUCCCCCUUUUGGCUUUCCUUUCCUUUGCUCAUGCCCUCUGUAUCUUGAUCAUUCCCUCCCUUGCCACUUGCAUUUGUUUAUAUUUAUUAUUUGUUCUUCCUUGGGACACAUUUCAAUAUCUGGGAGCAGUAAUUUUGUUCUGCUCUGCCCAGGAUGUCUGCGGUUUGCCUUCUGUGGGAUUGAAAUUUCUCACAGGGCCACUUAUAGGCGACCAGAACACUUUAUGUCAAUGUUGUGGUCUGGGUGCAGUGUUCCUGCCGUUUUGGUCCUGCAGUGUAAAACAAUGCCAUUUUGUAGAUGUGUUAAUGUUUAUAUUGAAGCACUAAACAUACCUGUAUUCCUGACCGCCCCAUGAUCCUGGGAACCAGGUAGAUUACAUAUGUUGUAGAACUACAACUCCCAUGAUGCUUUGCAUACCUCUAGAAUGCCAAAGCAUCGUGGAAACUGUAGUUUUAAAAUAUCAGGGGGUCCACCUUUUCGGUAUCGCUGCCCUAAAAGGUGAUCCCACGGACAUGACAGGGCCAAAAAACUUUUUUUUUUUUUUUUUUUUUAACCCUCAUCCAUCCAUUUUUUAUUUUAAAAGGAGGGCCCUGACUCUAAAUAUGUAUUCCUAACAGUACAGUAUUCCUUUAUUAUCGAUACUGGGUAAAUUUUACAGGCAAUUAAAAGAACAUCUUGCUUUAAAAGGGACCAGUUUAUGGAGCAGUACUUAAAGGAUCACUAUAGGGUCAGGAACACAUAUGUAUUCCUGACCCUAUAGUGUUAAAACCCACCAUUUAAGUGGCUUCCGCCCCCUUAGCCCUUUUUGCCAAAAAUGGCCCCGCCCCUGAUCUACCUACUUGUGACUUCCCUAUGGGAAAGUAUUGGAUUGGCUAAAAUCGGCAAGAGGCGGGAUGGGGGCAGGGCCAAACACCGGUUUGGAUAAUCAGCACCUCCUCAUAGAGAUGCCUUGAAUCAAUGCAUCUCAUCUCCAUCCACAGCGUGGCCAUCUGAGGAGUGCCCACUCUAGGUGUUCCUAGGGGGAAAUUUAAACCCUGCCUUUUCUCUGAAAAGGCAGUGUUUGCAUGAAAAUGCCUCAAUUGAAUGCUUAUACUCACCAGGACAAAUACAAUAAGCUGUAGUUGUUCUGGUGACUAUAGUGUCCCUUUAAAAACAGAUCUGUCAACAAAAAUAAACUUCAUCUAGUCUGCUUCUAUACUGCUCCUGAUUAGACUUUUUAUCCUGAGUGUUUUAUUUUUUUUGUAAUACAUAAACAAACAUAGGGACUUCUCUUUCUUAUUUAUAGUAGUUAAGUUAACAAAAACCCUAACAAUAGGCGAAGCUUAUAGAGACACAUUAAGCACCAAAACAAACUUUAGAUUAUUGAAGUUUGGUGUAUAGAUCGUGUGAAUGCAGUCUCACUGCUCGGUUAUCUGCCAUUUAGGAGCAGGUGACAUCAGUGUAUUUACUUUAGAAAUUAUCUCCUGCAAUAUUAAUUGAAUUAUAUUCAUACACAGGAAGCUACUACGGGCUCUAGCAAACAAUUAAGAGAGCAGAAGAGAAGACACUUAAAAUUAAAUAGACUCUGCAAUAUAGGAAACAUGUCUAUGUCAGAUGCAAAGGAGGUGUGACUAAGGCUGCAUAAAUAAAGUGAUUUAACUCCUAAAUGGCAGAGAAUUGAGCACUGCGACUACAUGGUUCAUGAUCUAUACACCACAACUACUUCAUUAAGCUAAAGUUUUUUUGGUGCCUAUUGGGUCCCUUUAAGCUCGGUCUAUUAAGUUUUGUCAUACAUAUGGAAAAGUAGCUCCUUUUAUAAAAAGUCAAGCACGGAGGUGAAAAAUAAAAAAAUAGUCAGACACAGGGAGCUAUGUAAUAAAAUAUUAAAGUUUAUGGUAACAGAUCAGUGUUAAGUAUACGUGAAUUACCGUAGUCACCUAAAUUACUUUAGCUAAAUAAAGCAGUUUUAGUGUAUAGAUCAUUCACCUGCAAUUUCACUAAUCAAUUCACUGUCAUUUAGGAGUUAAAUCACUUUGUUUCUGUUUAUGCAGCCCUAGCCACACCUCCCCUGGGUACGAUUGACAGAGCCUGCAUGAAAAAAACAACUGGUUUCACUUUCAAACAGAUGUAAUUUACCUUAAAUAAUUGUAUCUCAAUCUCUAAAUUGAACUUUAAUCACAUACAGGAGGCUCUUGCAGGGUCUAGCAAGCUAUUAACAUAGCAGGGGAUAAGAAAAUCUUAAUUAAACAGAACUUGCAAUAAAGAAAGCCUAAAUAGGGUUCUCUUUACAGGAAGUGUUUAUGGAAGGCUGUGCAAGUCACAUGCAGGGAGGUGUGACUAGGGUUCAUAAACAAAGGGAUUUAACUCCUAAAUGGCAGAGGAUUGAGCAGUGAGGCUGCAGGGGCAUGUUCUAUACACCACCACUGCUUCAUUAAGCUAAAGUUGUUCAGGUGACUAUAGUGUCCCUUUAAGUGCUGGGUUAGACAUUAAAAAACUAUGGCUAUUGCUCCAUAACCAGAUACAGAGAACUAGGACCACUGGAUUAAUGGGGCAUAGCGCUCUUCGUUGUUUUGGGGAGAGUAGUAAACAUUUCUAGAUGCCUUUUCACUUUCUUAGCUGGUUUUGGCAACUUUUACUUUAACUCUUGACCUUCAGUCCACUUCAUACAAGCCUUGAAGUUGACCGUUGUCCUCUUCAAACCACUGGCCCACCAGGGUCUCUCUGUAUUUUAACUAAAAGAAUAAUUAAAAUUAAUCUGCUUCAUACAUCUAACCUCCCUCUGUAUUAAAAAACCUCUUACCUAGGAUUACUCUCUCUCAAUGCAGGCUGCAGGAGAACUGAAGACCACAAAAUGCUCCUGACCAUGGCUGGUGAGAUUCUCAGUACCACAUUCUCCACUCCUGGGAGCAGCCACUCUGUCACCUCCUUGACCUUGGAACAAAAGGCUGCCUUUGUCCUGGUGUUUUUCCUCUUUAUCUUUCUCGGGCUUCUUAUUAUACGUUGUUUUCGGAUACUACUGGACCCAUACCGCAGUAUGCCCUCGUCUACAUGGACAGAUUACAUGGAGAAGGAUACGUUUGACUAUCGUUGGGCCUGACAGCAGACACGAACUAUGGUGACGCAUUUUGCGAUUACUUGAGGGAGUUUCACACUUUCACCGGUGGCCUUCAGGAAAUCAGCUUUCGAGUUUCCUUAUAUAGUGUUUUGGUUUUUUUAUUUUCCUUUUUCUAAUGUUUAAAGCCUCUCUAUGUUUAUGUGGGUUGUUUACAUUGGUUGCAAGUGUUUGUAACCCCUGCUAAGCAGUGUCCUGUUUUUAGGACAAAUUACUUUACACAAACAAGAUCUACCAAUACAAAACAAAGCCUCAAGUUAACACAUAGACCUAAGUUCACAGAGUUUCCAGCCGUGUUGAUAGUGGACACCCGUAACUUUGUUCUACUCUAUGCUUAUUGGGUGAAUAGAGUAACAUUUUGGUGCAUCUUGUGACAUGGUGGAAAAGGGAUGCAUUCUCAUAAUACGAACAGAAAUGUCAACCGUCCCACAGGGAAGACUUGGGUAGUUUUUGGAACUCCUAAAAUACCUCAGAUAAGAUUUGUUGGUUCCAAGUAGGAUAUAAAACCAUUAUUAGAAUAAUGGUAUGUGCUCAUUAAGAGAUAAACAUGUUGCUGGUUUUCACACUGUAGAGAAUAGUUUUGGAGAUGCAACGUAUUACCGAAAAUCUACGACUGACUGGUACCUGUCUCACUACAGGUGAUAGGACAGGUGAUAAAUAGUAACUAUUGUUAUUACUAUAUGUAUUUAUGGAUGAUUUAAGUCUACACUGACAAAAAAAACAAAAAAACACAGACCAUAGGUAUGAUGGCUACGACCGGGGCGAACGUUUCAGUUCAGUUCAGUUUCAAACUCGUUUUGGAGCCAGUAUAAGAAAUUAAGUGCCAGCUUGAAUCACACAGCGAACGUUAGAUGAGCAGAGGACUUUAGGGUUCCUCGUAAAUGGUUACAAACUUGCCUCUGAAUGGUUGUAAACAUUAUUUGAAGUAAUUGAGAUUUUCAGCAUGGUAGGUCUUCCAGUAACUUCGAAAAAAAAAUUUGAGUACCUGCUUAGUCUUUCUACUCAAACUGCCUUAGACUUUGUGAUUAACUCGGCUGUUGGAACGUGGGGUUAAUUAUUGCCCCAGCACAAGGACAAAUUCUAGAUAUUCCAGGUGCAGUGUCCAGACGUCUACAACCUUCAUUAGGUAGUGUUGUCUAAAGCACGAGCAGAAUGGUUGGAUGCUAUUCAGUUCUUGAAAGUAUAUAAGUACUAUAGGAUGUUUUUUUAAUGCAGGUUGAGUCAUAAAAACCAUCAAGAGUUAAUGUCUGGCCUUCACGAAAUGAGUCUGAUGCACAGGCUAUUACAGGACUACAUUUUACUCCUACAUCAAAAACAGGACGACUAGCACAUAGAGGCCUUGUAAUAACAUGUAUGUAGAGACAAAGCAUCAGUCCUAAUUGCAUUUCAAAUGAGAAAGGGAUAAAGGCUGUGUGAGACACAGUAAAUAAGAAGAACAUUGGCAAACAAUCCAUAGCACUUUUUGGGGGGGGGGGUUUAAAUUGCUUGCUGGAAGCAAUGGGAAUGCAGUUCGACAGGUGGCAAGAUGUGUUUGAGCAACCACCUUGUUUUAAAAUACAUAUUGGCAUAUAUUCGGUCUCGAAACAGAAGGGUGACCAGGGACUAUCAGUUACACAAACACGCUUUACUGAGUUGGUAUCAGGCGAUGGCAUACCUGGAGAAUAGAAAUUAACCUAGUGCGGUCUCCAUGGAAACUGAACAUCGCUCGCUUUCAGAAGUUUGCUCUAUCGUACCCAAACACAUGAAACAUUAAAGGAUUGUAGCGGAGUGUAAAAAUCUCCCAAGACAUACAAGCAAAUUCAAUUGGGGGUUUUUUUUAUGGGUAGGUGGGGAGGACAAAACCACUCUACAAGAAGUAAAACAAACUACCUGCUUAAUUGCUGCUUAAUUUUGUGCACAAAAAAAGUGACUUUUUUUAUGGUUCUCUCUCCUCGAACAACCUUUUGCUAUAGCCACCGCAGGCAAGAGAUGAAUGCGCCUCAUAUUUCACAGCAAUGGCAUAGGUUGGAUAAACGUGCCAAAAUGUCCCUAGGCACAAAUUCUGCCGAUGCCUACAAACCGAGAGAAGAUAUAGAUGAAAAUAUAUAUAUAUA